RNAcentral lists this ribosomal RNA (246 nucleotides) under uncultured bacterium. RNAcentral describes it as "partial 16S ribosomal RNA". It matches the Rfam family "Bacterial small subunit ribosomal RNA", at positions 524 to 770 of the family's 1533-position model. The record is from RNAcentral.
UACAGAGGGUGCUAGCGUUGUUCGGAUUCAUUGGGCGUAAAGCGCGCGUAGGCGGCUCCGCAAUUCGGCCGUGAAAUCUCCGGGCUCAACUCGGAGGGGUCGGGCGAGACUGCGAGGCUCGAGGUGGGCAGAGGGCAGUGGAAUUCCGGGUGUAGUGGUGGAAUGCGUAGAGAUCCGGAGGAACACCAGUGGCGAAGGCGGCUGCCUGGGCCUGGCCUGACGCUGAGGCGCGAAAGCGUGGGAGCA